RNAcentral lists this ribosomal RNA (504 nucleotides) under uncultured bacterium. Its description in RNAcentral is "bacterial SSU rRNA". It matches the Rfam family "Bacterial small subunit ribosomal RNA", at positions 28 to 526 of the family's 1533-position model. The record is from RNAcentral.
GAUGAACGCUAGCGACAGGCCUAACACAUGCAAGUCGAGGGGCAGCACAUGCGUAGCAAUACAAUGGUGGCGACCGGCGCACGGGUGAGUAACACGUAUGCAACCUACCUGUAAGUGGGGAAUAACCCGGAGAAAUCCGGACUAAUACCGCAUAAUACUUUUGAACUGCAUGGUUUAAAAGUUAAACAUUUAUGGCUUACAGAUGGGCAUGCGUAUGAUUAGUUAGUUGGUGAGGUAACGGCUCACCAAGACAUCGAUCAUUAGGGGUUCUGAGAGGAAGGUCCCCCANACUGGUACUGAGACACGGACCAGACUCCUACGGGAGCAGCAGUGAGGAAUAUUGGUCAAUGGGCGAGAGCCUGAACCAGCCAAGUCGCGUGAAGGAAGACGGUUCUAUGGAUUGUAAACUUCUUUUGUAAGGGAUAAAAAAGNGUACGUGUACUUUCUUGUAUGUACUUUACGAAUAAGGAUCGGCUAACUCCGUGCCAGCAGCCGCGGUAAUGU